Molecule: ribosomal RNA, 278 nt
Filed under: Escherichia coli
Lineage: Bacteria; Pseudomonadati; Pseudomonadota; Gammaproteobacteria; Enterobacterales; Enterobacteriaceae
Also listed under: 2 other names
Description: partial 16S ribosomal RNA
Rfam family: Bacterial small subunit ribosomal RNA
Source: RNAcentral
CGCGAGAGCAAGCGGACCUCAUAAAGUGCGUCGUAGUCCGGAUUGGAGUCUGCAACUCGACUCCAUGAAGUCGGAAUCGCUAGUAAUCGUGGAUCAGAAUGCCACGGUGAAUACGUUCCCGGGCCUUGUACACACCGCCCGUCACACCAUGGGAGUGGGUUGCAAAAGAAGUAGGUAGCUUAACCUUCGGGAGGGCGCUUACCACUUUGUGAUUCAUGACUGGGGUGAAGUCGUAACAAGGUAACCGUAGGGGAACCUGCGGUUGGAUCACCUCCUUA